CCUACGGGUGGCUGCAGUGGGGAAUAUUGGACAAUGGGGGCAACCCUGAUCCAGCCAUGCCGCGUGUGUGAAGAAGGCCCUCGGGUUGUAAAGCACUUUCAGUGAGGAAGAACGCCUGGUGGUUAAUACCCAUUAGGAAAGACAUCACUCACAGAAGAAGCACCGGCUAACUCCGUGCCAGCAGCCGCGGUAAUACGGAGGGUGCGAGCGUUAAUCGGAAUUACUGGGCGUAAAGCGCGCGUAGGUGGCUUGAUAAGCCGGUUGUGAAAGCCCCGGGCUCAACCUGGGAACGGCAUCCGGAACUGUCAAGCUAGAGUGCAGGAGAGGAAGGUAGAAUUCCCGGUGUAGCGGUGAAAUGCGUAGAGAUCGGGAGGAAUACCAGUGGCGAAGGCGGCCUUCUGGACUGACACUGACACUGAGGUGCGAAAGCGUGGGUAGCAAACAGGAUUAGAUACCCCAGUAGUC
RNAcentral lists this ribosomal RNA (465 nucleotides) under Vreelandella stevensii. Its description in RNAcentral is "partial 16S ribosomal RNA". It matches the Rfam family "Bacterial small subunit ribosomal RNA", at positions 338 to 795 of the family's 1533-position model. The record is from RNAcentral. Lineage: Bacteria; Pseudomonadati; Pseudomonadota; Gammaproteobacteria; Oceanospirillales; Halomonadaceae.